CCUACGGGAGGCAGCAGUAGGGAAUUUUCGUCAAUGGGCGCAAGCCUGAACGAGCAAUGCCGCGUGAACGAGGAAGGUCUUCGGAUCGUAAAGUUCUGUUGAAGGGGAAAAAGAGCGGAGAGAGGAAAUGGUCUCCGAUUGAUAUUACCCUUCGAGGAAGUCACGGCUAACUACGUGCCAGCAGCCGCGGUAAUACGUAGGUGGCGAGCGUUAUCCGGAAUGAUUGGGCGUAAAGGGUGCGUAGGCGGCCUGCUAAGUCUGGAGUGAAAGGUACCGGCUCAACCGGUACAGGCUCUGGAAACUGGCGGGCUAGAGAGCAGGAGAGGGCGGUGGAACUCCAUGUGUAGCGGUGAAAUGCUUAGAUAUUGCGCAGAACUCCGAUUGCGAAGGCAGCAUACCGGCGGCGAUCUGACGCUGAGGCACGAAAGCGUGGGUAUCGAACAGGAUUAGAUACCCGAGUAGUC
RNAcentral lists this ribosomal RNA (464 nucleotides) under uncultured bacterium. RNAcentral's name for it is "partial 16S ribosomal RNA". It matches the Rfam family "Bacterial small subunit ribosomal RNA", at positions 338 to 795 of the family's 1533-position model. The record is from RNAcentral.